RNAcentral lists this long non-coding RNA (837 nucleotides) under Nicotiana tabacum (common tobacco). RNAcentral's name for it is "long non-coding RNA (NTAB_LNC011232)". The record is from RNAcentral. Lineage: Eukaryota; Viridiplantae; Streptophyta; Magnoliopsida; Solanales; Solanaceae.
CUAAACGUAAAGAGGAAAAUAAUGGUGCAACAUUUUUUCCAAUAUAUAUUGCAAUUAAUCCAAUAAACUCCAGCCACUCCAUUACUCCUCUAGCACUCAAAUUUACCCUCACCUGUUGUUUUUAUGAGCUAAAAACUUCCUUAUUUUAGGGGUAUUUAUGUCAUUCUAAUCAUAUUAUGAAAAAUGAUAAGUGGAAGUCUUUUUUUUUAGUUUUUUUGAUUCCCAAGAUUAUUUUAUUACCAAUAAUUUAUGUUUUAAAAAAAAAAAAAGGAUAGAUGAGCUCUUUUUCUUGUUAUACUUUCUUGUUUUUCUGGUUGUUCUCUUACACUUCACAGUCAUCAUAUCUUUGGGAUUUGAUCUGAAGAAUAUUAGUGGCUUCUAAAAUUUUGCUGGAUAAAAUUUUCAGUUUCCGGUAAAACAAUAACAAGAAAUUAAACAAAACCCAAUUCUCAUAAUACACAAAUCAUUUAUCUUCCAUUUUCAAGAUUCAUCCUUUAUCCUACAAUUUGUGUAUAUAACAGUUGACCACACUGUAAAUUCUCAUUUUGACUCCAUUCCCUUAUCCGCAAAUGGGUAUGAAUUACUUUUGUGCCUUCUUAUCCUAUUGAAUUUUGUUCUUGUACAGUUAGGGUUUAUUUGAAUUCUGUUUCUUAUUGAAUCUUGUGGUUGUUUUGUGAAUAUUAUUUUCAAAUAAUCAAUUGGGGCUUGUUCUUUAUUAGGUUUGGUUGAUAUUUGUGGUAGAGUAAGAAGGUGUAGUGUUUAAGUGAUGGUGGUGGUAUCUGGGACUGGAGACCCUGUUGAGUCAUUUCUGAAUUCAGUACAAUUUGUUAAGAAUGC